This 387-nucleotide unclassified non-coding RNA is filed under the name soil metagenome. RNAcentral describes it as "partial contains 5.8S ribosomal RNA, internal transcribed spacer 2, and large subunit ribosomal RNA". The stretch from base 1 to 120 matches the Rfam family "5.8S ribosomal RNA", at positions 35 to 154 of the family's 154-position model. The record is from RNAcentral.
GAUGAAGAACGUAGCGAAAUGCGAUAAGUAAUGUGAAUUGCAGAAUUCAGUGAAUCAUCGAAUCUUUGAACGCACCUUGCACCCUUUGGUAUUCCGAAGGGUAUGCUCGUUUGAGUGUCAUUGUACUCUCACACUUCUAAUUCCUUUCGGGAUUGGGAGCGGUGGACUUGGGUGUUGCUGCUUUAGUUGUGGCUCACCUCAAAUAAGUUAGUGCAACUCUUGGUUGGACAUAGUACGGCGUGAUAAGUGUCUUCGCCGGCGCCUCUGUAAGGAGGGUGGCCGAUCGGGAGCUCUGUGCUUCAAACCGUCUUCGGACAAUCUUUGACAACUUGACCUCAAAUUGAGUAGGACUACCCGCUGAACUUAAGCAUAUCAAUAAGCGGAGGA